AUUGAACGCUGGCGGCAUGCUUUACACAUGCAAGUCGAACGGCAGCGCGGGCUUCGGCCUGGCGGCGAGUGGCGAACGGGUGAGUAAUACAUCGGAACGUGCCCAGUAGUGGGGGAUAGCUCGGCGAAAGCCGGAUUAAUACCGCAUACGACCUGAGGGUGAAAGCGGGGGAUCUUCGGACCUCGCGCUAUUGGAGCGGCCGAUGGCAGAUUAGCUAGUUGGUGGGUAAAGGCCUACCAAGGCGACGAUCUGUAGCUGGUCUGAGAGGACGACCAGCCACACUGGGACUGAGACACGGCCCAGACUCCUACGGGAGACAGCAGUGGGGAAUUUUGGACAAUGGGCGAAAGCCUGAUCCAGCAAUGCCGCGUGUGUGAUGAAGGCCUUCGGGUUGUAAAGCACUUUUGGCGGGAACGAAAAGGACUGUGCCAAUACCACGGUUCGAUGACGGUACCCGCAGAAUAAGCACCGGCUAACUACGUG
This 483-nucleotide ribosomal RNA is filed under the name uncultured bacterium. Its description in RNAcentral is "partial 16S ribosomal RNA". It matches the Rfam family "Bacterial small subunit ribosomal RNA", at positions 29 to 507 of the family's 1533-position model. The record is from RNAcentral.